This is a long non-coding RNA of Bradysia coprophila, 440 nucleotides long. The record is from RefSeq and is a predicted model, not a curated record. NCBI's taxonomy places the organism in Eukaryota, Metazoa, Arthropoda, Insecta, Diptera, Sciaridae.
AAAAAAGAACUGUGAUGUUGAAUCGAUUAAAAUUUCUUAUUCGCUUGCUUUUAUUUACCUCAACGAUAUGUUUAUGCAUGAAAAAUUAUGAACAUAUUGUACUUUGUACAACUAUAACAAAGGCAUUUCAGUGUUGUAAAACACACAAAAAAAACGAGUCAAAGAGUCAGUCAAAAAGCGCAGUUCAUGUUAUAUUAUUGAGUACACACACUACCGAACUUACACACCAUACACCGUUUACAGUUAAUAUGAUUUUAAAAUUAUUAUUCUAAAUGGGAUUAUAUUGUUGAAAAUGUGAAGUGUUGAUGUCAUGGGAUCGUCUGGCACUUCGUCUACAUUUUCCAUAUUUGCCGCGUCUUGUGACACGGAUUUAUAGUUUAUAUCAAUGUUUUUAGUUAAUUUGUUUCUCUGUCGUCUUUGCAAUCAAUAAAAUUUCUUCG